This 671-nucleotide ribosomal RNA is filed under the name uncultured bacterium. RNAcentral describes it as "bacterial SSU rRNA". It matches the Rfam family "Bacterial small subunit ribosomal RNA", at positions 147 to 805 of the family's 1533-position model. The record is from RNAcentral.
CAGGAGGAAACUCCUGCUAAUACCGCAUAGCCAUGAGCACCGCAUGGAGCUCAUGCCAAAUAUCCUUUCGGGGAUAGCGCAGGGAUGGACCUAUGGCGCAUUAGCUUGUUGGCGGGGCAACGGCCCACCAAGGCAACGAUGCGUAGCCGGCCUGAGAGGGCGGACGGCCACAUUGGGACUGAGACACGGCCCAGACUCCUACGGGAGGCAGCAGUAGGGAAUUUUCGGCAAUGGGGGAAACCCUGACCGAGCAACGCCGCGUGAGCGAAGAAGGCCUUCGGGUCGUAAAGCUCUGUUGUAAAGGAAGAACGGCGCAUACAGGAAAUGGUAUGCGAGUGACGGUACUUUACCAGAAAGCCACGGCUAACUACGUGCCAGCAGCCGCGGUAAUACGUAGGUGGCGAGCGUUAUCCGGAAUCAUUGGGCGUAAAGAGGGAGCAGGCGGCCGCAAGGGUCUGUGGUGAAAGACCGAAGCUAAACUUCGGUAAGCCAUGGAAACCGGGCGGCUAGAGUGCGGAAGAGGAUCGUGGAAUUCCAUGUGUAGCGGUGAAAUGCGUAGAUAUAUGGAGGAACACCAGUGGCGAAGGCGACGGUCUGGGCCGCAACUGACGCUCAUUCCCGAAAGCGUGGGGAGCAAAUAGGAUUAGGUACCCUAGUAGUCCACGCCGUAA